GGCCCAAGCUGAGUUGAGGUUGAAUGCAGAAAAAUGGCGCAAUACAAAUACAAUUGAUCCCACUGUCAGAGGUCUCUUCUUUCUAAUUUUGGUUGGCCAUGGAGGCUCGUUUUAGAGGAUCGUUUAUCUCCCCUACCUUGCUAAUCUUCUUCUUCCUGGUUGCACCUUCCCGAGUAGAAUUGUCAAAUGUAUCAUCACUUCAUGGAGAGCCGAAAGGUCUUUUCCCCUCAUAUGAUUGUCCGCAAUGCAUUAAUAGAAAGGAACAUGGUCGAAAUAGUGCUGCUCGUCCUGAUAAGAAAAAUAUUGACAUCCUUGUAACAUAUACUGAUGUUAAUGGUGCUGUUAGAACUAGGAGCAUAAACUCCAAGGACUUGUCAACUUCAUGGGUAUGGAGGUAUCCUAGUGAUGAGGAUGGUGAUCACAAGAAGAGUUCCAAGGAAGUGGAAGGGAAGUCUCAGAAACCGGAUAAGCUUGAGGGCACUAUUGAUCACUCUUAUGGAAAUGCAAAUCAGUAUGGAGUUGUUAUGGAGCAUAAAUUAGCAUCUGAGCUACAUCCAAUCAAACUCAAGCGCCAGAGGCUAAGAAACGAUAUAAGGGAACGACGGACUGCAGAGCUGAUCCAACAAGAUAAGGAAAUUGAAAACCAAAUUCAAGACGCUGCUAUUGAGCGAGCCAAAGAGCUUGACACAACUAGCAAGGGUAUAUACAAUAUAUGGAGGAAAGAAUAUGAAAACCCUAAUUCUGACUCUACCCUUAAACUUAUGCGUGACCAAAUCAUCAUGGCAAGAGCGUAUGCUACCAUUGCAAAAGUUAAGAAUGAAGAUUCUCUGUAUGAUUCUUUGAUAAAUCAUUCUAGAGAAAGCCAGCUUGCAAUUGGAGAAGCCACUGCUGAUUCUGAACUUCAACCAAGUGCACUUGACCGAGCAAAGGAUAUGGGCCAUGUUUUAGCUGCUGCAAAGGAUCAACUAUACGAUUGCAUGACACUAGCAAGGAAACUAAGAGUCAUGCUUCAGUCGGCCGAAACUGGUCUAAAUAUGCUGAAGAAAAGGAGUGCAUUCUUGAUACAGUUGGCUGCUAAAACUGUUCCCAGGCCUUUGCAUUGUCUUCCUUUGCUUCUCACGACAGACUUCUUUAUACGUCGAUAUGAAGAGAGAGAAUUUCCAAACAAGGAAAAGCUUGAAGAUCCUUCUCUGUUCCAUUAUGCAAUAUUUUCUGAUAAUGUACUUGCCACAUCUGUUGUUGUAAACUCUACUAUACUGCAUGCGAAGGAGCCUGAAAAGCACGUUUUCCAUAUAGUGACAGAUAAAUUGAACUUCCCAGCUAUGAAAAUGUGGUUCCUUGUUAAUCCUCCUGCUGCUGCAACAAUUCACGUUGAGAAUGUCGAUGACUUUACAUGGCUCAAUUCUACUUACUGCCCUGUACUACGUCAGCUUGAAUCUGCUAGAAUGAUAGAGUAUUAUUUCAAGGCACAUCAGUCAAACUCCCUUACAUCUGGCACCGACAAUCUUAAAUAUAGGAACCCAAAGUAUUUGUCAAUGCUGAAUCAUCUUAGGUUUUACCUUCCUGAAGUAUAUCCAAAGCUGGAGAAAAUCUUAUUUCUGGAUGAUGAUAUUGUAGUUCAAAAGGAUCUGACACCUCUUUGGUCUGUCAACUUACAAGGGAUGGUCAAUGGUGCCGUGGAGACAUGCAAAGAAAGCUUCCAUAGAUUUGAUAAAUAUCUUAACUUUUCUAACCCGAAGAUAUCUGAAAACUUUGAUCCAAAUGCCUGUGGAUGGGCUUUUGGCAUGAAUAUCUUUGAUUUGAAGGAGUGGAGGAGGCGCAACAUUACAGGAAUAUAUCAUUAUUGGCAAGAAAGGAAUGAGGAUAGAACACUUUGGAAACUUGGAACCUUACCUCCAGGGUUAAUAACUUUCUAUAACUUGACUCAUCCCUUGGAUCGGAGCUGGCAUGUCUUGGGUCUUGGCUAUGAUCCUGCCUUGAAUAAAACAGAAAUACAAAAUGGGGCAGUUGUUCACUACAAUGGAAAUUACAAACCAUGGUUGGAUCUUGCAAUUGCCAAGUACAAAGCUUAUUGGUCUAGAUAUGUAAUGUUCAAUAAUUCAUACCUUCAACUUUGUAACAUCAAGG
Molecule: unclassified non-coding RNA, 2127 nt
Filed under: Hevea brasiliensis (rubber tree)
Lineage: Eukaryota; Viridiplantae; Streptophyta; Magnoliopsida; Malpighiales; Euphorbiaceae
Source: RNAcentral